UUUACAUUUUGCAGUUGUUUUAGUGGGGUGAGGGUUAGCAAGACUGUAAAUUAGACUCCGUGCACAGUCUGCUGUAUGUAUGCACGCAUGCAAGAGUCAUUUUGGGGGCAAUAUAUCUGUGGCAAAUGUGAGCGAGUGGCUACCCUGCAAGCUUGUGCUGGAGAUCUGAAAAAGCAAAUUGCAACACUGAGGAGGAUUGACAAAA
Pelobates cultripes (western spadefoot toad) is the source of this 205-nucleotide non-coding RNA. The record is from the annotation of a GenBank genome assembly. NCBI's taxonomy places the organism in Eukaryota, Metazoa, Chordata, Amphibia, Anura, Pelobatidae.